RNAcentral lists this long non-coding RNA (1265 nucleotides) under Gossypium raimondii (Peruvian cotton). RNAcentral's name for it is "long non-coding RNA (GRAI_LNC000990)". The record is from RNAcentral. Lineage: Eukaryota; Viridiplantae; Streptophyta; Magnoliopsida; Malvales; Malvaceae.
UUGAAGAUAAAUCUUUGUCAUAUUCAUUAAAUCUAACCUCUCCAUUAGAAUUUCGCCCUUGUAAAGAGAGCAGAGCCACUAGAGCAAAGGAAGGGGAUCGACAAGGGUCUUACCUCGGUAAAUGGAAAAUUAUUUGUUUUAUAUUUUUAAAAUUCAUAAGUUUUAAAUUAAUAUAUAAUAAAAUUAUAAUUUAUUUUUGGGAAAUAUAUAGCUUAAUGUUGCACUUAAAAAAAAAUUCUAGCUACACCCUGCUAUCACCUCAACCUCAACCAUUUUGGGAAUUGAAAUUUGGGGUGUUUUCAAUGGAAUGAAGAACAUCUUGGAGAUAUUUUAAUUCUUGAAACCCAAUCUGCAACUCAAAUCGCUGAUUUGGGAAUAAGAUUUCCGUAAAUACUUUUGGAAACACAACAUUUUCCUUAAGAAAAGUAUUAUUGAUCCAUGCCUGCAACCUUGGAAACUAGAUCAAAUGAAAAUAGUAACUCAGAAAAAUCUUAGAUUUGCAGACAUGUUUAUCAUCCACAACUAUAUUCAAUUUGAUUUCAUCUCUGGCAAAAAUCUUUAAACAUGUUUUGCAUCAAAAAGUUGAGAAUAUUCCAAGCUCAACCAUAAAAAAUAAAUUGGAGAGGGAAAGAAAUACUCUGUUAAACAUUUUAUUUAUAGAACAUCAAAAUCUAAUUGUAUUAGGACCAAAACAGCUCAAAUCCAUUACUUUUCUCAUAUUCUCUUCACAUUUAUUAUUCACCUGUUUAUAAGAAGCAGGUGAAGAAAGGAUGUUGGGAUGACGAGCAAAUGAUCUGAUAUUGGUCCUUGCAUGUUGAUGAAGCGACCUUAUUGUGUAAUUCCACCUGCAAAUCCCUUGGUCCUUAAGGGCCUCCACUGCACCUAUUGUUGCUGCCACAAUCCAUGCCCUACUCAUUGUUGAUUUAUUUUUUAAUUGAGGUUGAGAAAGUGAAAUGGAGGUUGGGUUUUUUUAUAGGAGAAAAGAGUGGGGAAAAUCCCAAAAUCAAGAGGCGAUUGAAGCCAGAUAUGUGGAGAGAAAGUUCCCCGGUUUUGGCGACGAAAACCAAGUGCUAACUUUUUCACUCACUUUCGGUUUUUGCCGACGAAAACAAGAAAUCUGAGGGCUGUUUCCGGUUUUGCUGACAAAAUAAAGUGCUAAAUUUCAUAACUGAAGUUUGAUUUUAUUUUAAAUAGACCCAUGAUGUUUUGAUUUUAAUGUGUAAUUUUGAGAUUUAUCUUCAAAAUAAAAAUCAUGUACUUUUAUA